AGGCAGUGACUGUUGGUAAAUCUAUACUUGGCAGUGAACUUCAUCCCAUGCCUUAAAUCAAAAAAGUUCCUUCAUCAGAUAUAAAUGGAGAUUUAUUUUGAUUUUUUUCUCCUCAGUCCAGCCAUGUUUUCUCCUGUUGGCAGGUGAAAAUGAAAUAGUCUCAUUCUGAAACAGGGAAGUAAUUGUGGCUUAAACAUAAAAUUACUAUUUAGUGUUAAACCCUUUGAUGAAUACACAAGCUGUUGUUACUUCACAACAAAUAUCAAUAAGCAGCAUGAAUGAGUAUACAUAAUUCAUAAUAUUUAACUUGAAAGUGCAUCUUUUUCUUACAGUGAUUGAUUAAUUUUUCUUGAGUUUGUCCAGUGACUUCAUCACAAUUUAAUACAAAAUGCUUUUCUGUUGGAGAGUGAACAGUAACAUGACACAUUAAAUGUUACAAAAUUAGCUUUUCUCCCACCCCUUUGCAAGGUCCAGAAGUCCAAAAGCUUUGUGGUUGCAUUGCUGAAUGAAACAAGGAAAAUAACACCAUUAUCAAUCAGUCAGCCCUUAGCACUUAGGACUUUAUUAUAUGAAGAAUAAGAAAUAUUCAAUCGAGGUUAUGCUCAGUAAGGAAGAAUUCAAAAGGCAGGAACUAACUGAAAUACAAUGAUCAGAAUGUGGGUUUUUUUAACCUCAAACUGUUUGAAUGUUGUGUGUAACACACAGCACUUCCUAUUUUAAUUGACUGUUUCUUUGCCCAUAGGGGAAUUUUUCCUUUACCAGAGAGGCCCAAGGGACGGGAAGCAAAAGGUUUGUUUUUGCAAGAAGUUGCAGUGCUUGUUUUCUGUCAAAGCUCCACAAAGGAUGGUGAUUACCCCAGCACUGCUGGGGAAGUCUGGAGAAACCCUCAGAGCAGCUGAGUUUAGUUUGAUGACAUUGCUGCCACCAUGCUCUGACUCCCAGUUCCUUGGCUGAAAGGAAAUCCAAACCUGCAUGGCUGUAAUUGUAAUUACAUUCCAAAUUCUUAAACCCUCUAAGUAAAUGUGAAUUAGAAAGGAUGAUUUUAAAUGUAAUGAAGGUGCUGUAGAUAAAAAGGUGGCAGUGAUGUUGGGAAUGUCAACUCUGCAGUGGCUGGAGGAAAAAGUCCUCUCCAUU
Molecule: long non-coding RNA, 1134 nt
Filed under: Parus major (Great Tit)
Lineage: Eukaryota; Metazoa; Chordata; Aves; Passeriformes; Paridae
Description: lncRNA (ENSPMJG00000009046.1)
Source: RNAcentral